UCCGAGUUGUAAUUUGUAGAGGAUGUUUUGGGUACCGCCCCGGUUUAAAUUUCUUGGAACAGAAUGUCAGAGAGGGUGAGAAUCCCGUCUUGGACCGGCGGUAGGGCCUGUGUAAAACUCCUUCGACGAGUCGAGUUGUUUGGGAAUGCAGCUCAAAAUGGGUGGUAAAUUUCAUCUAAAGCUAAAUAUUGGCCAGAGACCGAUAGCGCACAAGUAGAGUGAUCGAAAGAUGAAAAGAACUUUGAAAAGAGAGUUAAACAGUAUGUGAAAUUGUUGAAAGGGAAGCGCUUGCAACCAGACUUGAGCGCGACGGUUCCCCUAGCCUUUUGGCUAGGUUACUCCGUCGUGUCCAGGCCAACAUCGGUUCUGAGGGUCGGUCAAAGGCCCCGGGAAUGUACCUACCUACGGGUAGACUUAUAGACCGGGGUGUCAUACGGCCUCUCGGGACCGAGGAACGCGCUUCGGCUCGGAUGUUGGCGUAAUGGUUGUCAGCGACCCGUCUUGAAACACGGACCAAGGAGUCUAACAUCUAUGCGAGUGUUUGGGUGUCAAACCCGGAACGCGGAAUGAAAGUGAACGGAGGUAGGAAGCUUCGGCUGCACUAUCGACCGAUCCUGAAGUUUACGGAUGGAUUUGAGUAAGAGCAUAGCUGUUGGGACCCGAAAGAUGGUGAACUAUGCCUGAAUAGGGUGAAGCCAGAGGAAACUCUGGUGGAGGCUCGCAGCGGUUCUGACGUGCAAAUCGAUCGUCAAAUUUGGGUAUAGGG
RNAcentral lists this ribosomal RNA (766 nucleotides) under Phialophora verrucosa. RNAcentral's name for it is "eukaryotic LSU rRNA". It matches the Rfam family "Eukaryotic large subunit ribosomal RNA", at positions 137 to 922 of the family's 3401-position model. The record is from RNAcentral. Lineage: Eukaryota; Fungi; Ascomycota; Eurotiomycetes; Chaetothyriales; Herpotrichiellaceae.